AUGUUGAAAUAUAAUUUUUGUAUUACUAAUAGAAAUAUCAAGGAGAAAGAAUUAGCUGCUGUUAAGAUAAAUGCAGCAGAUGUUGAUAUAAUUGCAAACGAACUAGAGUUGGACAAAAAGGUGGCUGAAAGAACCUUGCGUUGCUGCCAUUCGUCAUUUGCUUCACUAGUAUGGUGGAAACAAAUAAGGGAAUGUGAUCUAUAUUGUCAAUGA
Molecule: non-coding RNA, 213 nt
Organism: Vicia faba (fava bean)
Lineage: Eukaryota; Viridiplantae; Streptophyta; Magnoliopsida; Fabales; Fabaceae
Source: the annotation of a GenBank genome assembly